This 869-nucleotide long non-coding RNA is filed under the name Solanum tuberosum (potato). RNAcentral describes it as "long non-coding RNA (STUB_LNC002102)". Lineage: Eukaryota; Viridiplantae; Streptophyta; Magnoliopsida; Solanales; Solanaceae. The record is from RNAcentral.
GUCAAGGUUCUUCAACUGCCCGAGUUAGCAAAGGCAAAAAGCAAAAAAGCCCUGAAGUCAGUUGGGGUGUCAAGCGUAAGCGUAAGUAAACCUCCCAGGUUUAAUGAACAAAUGUGGAAGAGAUUUUUACUCACUGUGAUAUUCAGGUGUUAAUUUAUUUAUCAUUUAGUCUGUUUUUGCCUUCCUUACCCGGUAUAACGAACUUUUGUAUAAUUUGUAAAUAUUAGAUUGUUGAAUUUUUGAGCGCAUAUCUUCAAAGUCGAAUUUGAAAAUUUUGAGUCCUAUUGCUUGUUAGUUGACAUUCAUUUUGUUGUUGUAUUUGGAGCUCAAAAAGUGGUUGGAGUAUUGAUUUUGUAAGAUUUGGGUGAUAAAAAGCCUAUUAGAAAGGGCCCCCAAGGCCUAGCUCAAGUGGCAAAAGGUGGAGGAUUUGUGGCUUAGGUCGCAGGUUCAAGCCCCAUUAUCCACCGAGUUUAGAAGGCUGUGAUUGGUCCAAAGGGCGGGGCACAGACGGAUUUCUCGGUUAUCAAAAAAAAAAAAAAGCCUAUUAGAAAGGGCCCCCAAGGCCUAGCUCAAGUGGCAAAAGGUGGAGGAUUUGUGGCUUAGGUCGCAGGUUCAAGCCCCAUUAUCCACCGAGUUGAGAAGGCUGUGAUUGGUCCAAAGGGCGGGUCACAGACGGAUUUCUCGGUUAUCAAAAAAAAAAAAAAAAGCCUAUUAGAAAGGUAACCCACCAUUGUUAAACAAGUUUGAAGGAAUGGAAUGAGUUUGAAUUUCAUUUUUUUUUUUGUGAGAAAUUUGGAGUCUUUAGACUCUUUGGCAGUAGUCUAAGGAGGUUGCUACAAAAUUUAAAGUCAUUUGAGGGAGAGGAGGAC